GCCGCUGUAGCCCAGUUGGUAGAGGCGGCGCUAAUACAGAUGGCGAUGUUCGCUGGUUCAAAUCCAGCCUGCGGUG
Non-coding RNA from Phthorimaea operculella (potato tuberworm), 76 nucleotides. The record is from the annotation of a GenBank genome assembly. NCBI's taxonomy places the organism in Eukaryota, Metazoa, Arthropoda, Insecta, Lepidoptera, Gelechiidae.